UUAGCUAAUGAAUGUUUUUAAGGAGAGGCAUGAUAGUAUGCUUUGUAUGAAGGGUGAAUCGCAGGGAAGGAAACUAUGGAAGUAGAGAGACUAAUAUGAUGCAUGGAGCAGAAAUCCAGGUAAAUAUGAUGGUGGUUUGAACUAAUUUACUGGCAUAGUAGAUAUAGAGAAUAAGGCAAAAGAGAUAUAAAUGAGAAGUACAAUUGAAUAGAGAUGUUUGGAAGAGAAACUGAUAGAUCUAAAUCUGGACUAGCUAUAGAUGGUCUUGAGGAAGAGAGAAAGCAAUCAACUUUUGGAGGUUAAGCCAUUUAUUCAGAUGUUAACCACUGCGGGAAAGGAUCUAAAACAGUUUGAGGGAAAAUCAUCAUCAUACCACUAUGAUAUUUAGAAUGACCCAUUUACAUUAAUAAACUUUAAGCUCCUCAGCAAGGUCAUGCCUUGGAUUAGAAAAAUACCAAAUAAAUCCUUCCAGCAUAUCCCAUUCUUUCAUAUAUCUAGUAGGAAUAGAAAUUAGAUAAAUGUUAGUCACUAUUAUCCAUGCAAAAUGCCAUUCUUUUUUUUUUUUUUUUUUUUUUCCUUGCCACAAAGAAAGUGGUUUGGUCAUAUUGAAUAGAGUGACUCACCGACGCCACCUCUGAAUGUCUUACUUUUUCUUUGCUGACAAAGCUCACCUCAGCAACAAGUAGCAAAAACACAGAAGCACUACCACAGGAGGGCUCCCAUGAUUGUUUCCCACUCCUAGGGGACACCAAGAGGCAUAAGGAUGCUGUUGGCAGAGAGCCAGACCUGACUCAUCUUUCCUCUGUACUCGACAAGGUACCCAGCUGGCCCUGCCCUAAACCAUAGGAAUCAUGCCAUAUUGUCUACUGAGCCUCUGUAAAAACACGUCACGGUGUCUGUCCCAUGAUUGCACAACGGUUCUCUUCCAAAAGCGAACCUCCAAUAGACAGGGAAGGAGGAGAAAUAGAAAAGAACAUGAAUUGUAUUUCUGAAAAGAAACGAACCUCCCAACGUUGGCACCCAGAAACUGAAAAUCCACCGUUCUUUGAAAAGCCUGUGCUGACCUGGUCUUUACCUUACUGCAGUUAGCUUUUUUUAAAACUCCCCUAUGCUUUUCAGAUAAAAAAAAAAAAAAAAAAAAAAAAAAAAGAAAAGAUUCUUAGCGUCAUAGGAGAUAAAAAUUACUGGGGAGGCUGCAACUAUAAUUGAAAAAAGAAACACUAAAAGAACGAGUCAAAUGUUUGCUAGAAUCACAAAAGUUGAAGUUUUUGGUGUGGUCAUCUUGUUUUGAUCUUUUGUCUUGAAGACAAGUAACAAAAAUACCUAUUUUUUUUCCCAUUGAAAGUAAGUGACACUUUCAGUCGAGACCAAAAACAAGUUAAAAGGGCUCUGAAUCU
This 1397-nucleotide long non-coding RNA is filed under the name Canis lupus familiaris (dog). Its description in RNAcentral is "lncRNA (ENSCAFG00000033321.3)". The record is from RNAcentral. Lineage: Eukaryota; Metazoa; Chordata; Mammalia; Carnivora; Canidae.